Molecule: long non-coding RNA, 113 nt
Organism: Etheostoma cragini (Arkansas darter)
Lineage: Eukaryota; Metazoa; Chordata; Actinopteri; Perciformes; Percidae
Exons: 3
Source: RefSeq, a predicted model, not a curated record
GUUUUGAAUCAUGGCUGCACGAUAUGAGGAAAAUAUGCGAUACGUGAUAACGUUGUUGAAUAUCGCAAAACGAUAUUACUUGCAAUAUAUUAACAGAAAUUACAUUAAAUUGU